CUCAAUUGACCCACGUCCAGCUUUACCAAAUUAAUUGCAUGAAGGUGGCACAUCCAUAAACGUUACACAACAGAUGUCAUGUAUCUAAUAAAAGACUAGAACAUAAUAAAACAAUAUAAAUAAGUAAAUGAUUUAUAGCCUGACUCAUUUUCUCUAGACUUUAGACUCUAAACUCAGAAUUUGGCACACAAAACUAAUAGAAAUUGAGGCAAGCUUUACUUGUCAUAUUCCAGCCACCAGGGACGUACAGCUCGCUGGGCACACGGAGAGGUGAUGAACACAUCUGGUUAUUCUAUCAUAUUUUUUAUUUGAAUUUACUUAAUCAUUUUUAUCAUAUGCACAGAAGAAGAAAUGUCUAUGAAUGUCUGAUGGUAUUUUGAUACUGACAAUAAACCUAAAUGUACUUUUAGCGUAAGACAUUUUCUCUUUUCCUAAAAACUUCCAUUACAGCCUUUUAGAGCUUCUGUCAGUUAUCUUGUGUUGAAUGACGUAUUGUUUUAAAGUUGUCUCUAUUGCGUUUCAGACUCAACUUGGGCAGUUUGCUGGGUAAAAUCCACUGCUACUGAUAAUGUCCGUGGAAAUUCACGGCACGUUCAAAACCUCUGGCUCCUCAGCAGCAGUCGAAGAUCCAGAAACAGCCACAGCGAGUGUGGCAGCAGAGGGUGUCGCAUCAACUGGCAAUGACAAGAAAAGCGGAUCAUUCGGGGUCUCGCUGUUCGUCAAUGCCCUCAUUCAGAUAGGAAUUGGAGGAUAUUUCCACCAUGACUGCCCGGCCCAGCCCUACAUUCCCAUCUACAUGGAGGUACUGGGAACCGUCACAAUUGUAACAGUGAUUUCUUAUUGGUGGUAUAAGGACAGCCCCAAGAACUACCUGGUCAUCACAAUCUUGACUUUGGGCCUUCUCUUCUGCUUUUGCUUCUUCAUCACUGGUAAGUUCAAAAGAUGGAACAGUAGACAGACCAAUUUAAUUCAAAUGAAAAUAUAAAUAUAUUAGCUGAAAUGUGAGUGUUGCACAUGUUUCUUAUGAUUGUUGACUAAGUGGAUAGCUGUUAACAAGCCACUAGAUGGCCCCCUAAUGCCUCUACAUGAUCCUCACAACAUUGCUAGAAACAGACUUAAGAAUUUGUCAACACAAUUGUAUAGAAUCUUUUUAGAUUAGAAGAUAGAAUAUGAAAAUAU
Molecule: long non-coding RNA, 1179 nt
Filed under: Sparus aurata (gilthead seabream)
Lineage: Eukaryota; Metazoa; Chordata; Actinopteri; Spariformes; Sparidae
Description: lncRNA (ENSSAUG00010014140.1)
Source: RNAcentral